AUAUAAUAACAUAAAACAGAUAAAGUGGGACGUAAAUGAUAGCUAUAUAAGU
This 52-nucleotide non-coding RNA is filed under the name Trypanosoma brucei brucei. Lineage: Eukaryota; Euglenozoa; Kinetoplastea; Trypanosomatida; Trypanosomatidae. The record is from RNAcentral.